RNAcentral lists this ribosomal RNA (588 nucleotides) under uncultured bacterium. RNAcentral describes it as "partial 16S ribosomal RNA". It matches the Rfam family "Bacterial small subunit ribosomal RNA", at positions 355 to 1375 of the family's 1533-position model. The record is from RNAcentral.
UGGGGAAUUUUGGACAAUUGGGCGAAAGCCUGAUCCAGCAAUGCCGCGUGUGUGAAGAAGGCCUUCGGGUUGUAAAGCACUUUUGUCCGGAAAGAAAUCCUUGGCUCUAAUACAGUCGGGGGAUGACGGUACCGGAAGAAUAAGCACCGGCUAACUACGUGCCAGCAGCCGCGGUAAUACGUAGGGUGCAAGCGUUAAUCGGAAUUACUGGGCGUAAAGCGUGCGCAGGCGGUUUGCUAAGACCGAUGUGAAAUCCCCGGGCUCAACCUGGGAACUGCAUUGGUGACUGGCAGGCUAGAGUAUGGCAGAGGGGGGUAGAAUUCCACGUGUAGCAGUGAAAUGCGUAGAGAUGUGGAGGAAUACCGAUGGCGAAGGCAGCCCCCUGGGCCAAUACUGACGCUCAUGCACGAAAGCGUGGGGGAGCAAACAGGAUUAGAUACCCUGGUAGUCCACGCCCUAAACGAUGUCAACUAGUUGUUGGGGGAUUCAUUUCCUUAGUAACGUAGCUAACGCGUGAAGUUGACCGCCUGGGGAGUACGGUCGCAAGAUUAAAACUCAAAUGAAUUGACGGGGUCAUAGCUGUUUCCU